This 502-nucleotide ribosomal RNA is filed under the name uncultured Glomus. RNAcentral's name for it is "SSU rRNA". It matches the Rfam family "Eukaryotic small subunit ribosomal RNA", at positions 569 to 1074 of the family's 1831-position model. The record is from RNAcentral. Lineage: Eukaryota; Fungi; Glomeromycota; Glomeromycetes; Glomerales; Glomeraceae.
AGCAGCCGCGGUAAUUCCAGCUCCAAUAGCGUAUAUUAAAGUUGUUGCAGUUAAAAAGCUCGUAGUUGAAUUUCGGGGUUAGUAAGUUGGUCAUGCCUCUGGUAUGCACUGGCUUUACUGAUUCCUCCUUCUUGAUGAACUGUAAUGUCAUUAAUUUGGUGUUGCAGGGAAUCAGGACUGUUACUUUGAAAAAUUAGAGUGUUUAAAGCAGGCAUAAGCUUGAAUACAUUAGCAUGGAAUAAUGAAAUAGGACGUUUGAUCCUAUUUUGUUGGUUUCUAGGAUUGACGUAAUGAUUAAUAGGGAUAGUUGGGGGCAUUAGUAUUCAAUUGUCAGAGGUGAAAUUCUUGGAUUUAUUGAAGACUAACUACUGCGAAAGCAUUUUGCCAAGGAUGUUUUCAUUAAUCAAGAACGAAAGUUAGGGGAUCGAAGACGAUCAGAUACCGUAGUAGUCUUAACCAUAAACUAUGCCGACUAGGGAUCGGAUGAUGUUAUUUUUAAUGA